RNAcentral lists this ribosomal RNA (496 nucleotides) under uncultured bacterium. Its description in RNAcentral is "partial 16S ribosomal RNA". It matches the Rfam family "Bacterial small subunit ribosomal RNA", at positions 28 to 506 of the family's 1533-position model. The record is from RNAcentral.
GAUGAACGCUGGCGGCGUGCCUAAUACAUGCAAGUCGAGCGAACAGACGAGGAGCUUGCUCCUCUGACGUUAGCGGCGGACGGGUGAGUAACACGUGGAUAACCUACCUAUAAGACUGGGAUAACUUCGGGAAACCGGAGCUAAUACCGGAUAAUAUAUUGAACCGCAUGGUUCAAUAGUGAAAGACGGUUUUGCUGUCACUUAUAGAUGGAUCCGCGCCGCAUUAGCUAGUUGGUAAGGUAACGGCUUACCAAGGCAACGAUGCGUAGCCGACCUGAGAGGGUGUUCGGCCACCCUGGAACUGAGAACCGGUCCGGACCCCUACGGGAGGCGGAGGUGGGGAAUCUUCCGCAAUGGGCGAAAGCUUGACGGAGCAACGCGGCGUGAGUGAUGAAGGUCUUCGGUUCGUAAACCUCUUUUAUUGGGGAAAAACAAAUGUGUAAGUAACUAUGCACGUCUUGACGGUACCUAAUCAGAAAGCCACGGCUACCUACUU